This 254-nucleotide long non-coding RNA is filed under the name Elaeis guineensis (African oil palm). RNAcentral describes it as "long non-coding RNA (EGUI_LNC079414)". The record is from RNAcentral. Lineage: Eukaryota; Viridiplantae; Streptophyta; Magnoliopsida; Arecales; Arecaceae.
UCUGACGUGGAUGCAAAGUAGAGGUCUGUACAUCCAAGCCUAUAUGAAGGUUUAAUCCAGAUAAAUUGAGAUUUGAUCUCUGGUUCUGCUGCUAAUUAGGUAGGAUUUGAUCCUUAAUCAUGUAGAUGAAUAAAAAAUUUUUAGAUGCAAUUUGGGCCUUCCUAGGAGAAAUAGUUUCUUUUCCUUCACUAGCUCCACCCCUCAUACUGAGCCUUCAUCACCCUACUCUAAAAAUAGUCUGGCUGGAUGAGGAA